AGUGUAUGGAAAAGCUUCAUAGAUGAGCUUCUAGACAAUGAAUACGAACGAGAUUUGAUUCUUGGGGGUGAACCAGGAUCCACCUCGGAGCUUUUCAUGUUUGAAAAAUUUGAACUCGGACUAUUGGAAUAAGUGGCACUAGAAUGACGACUAAAAGAGCGCCAACGCUUAAUGGAUCCAUUUCUUGGAUUAAAAGAAUUAAUCCUAAUGGAUGUCGAGGCUAUAGGAGUAGGUGCAGCAGAUUGCGUAAUUAAAGUAGAAGAAGUAUUUGGAGAAGUAGGCGCAGCUACCAGAGGAGGUAGUGAAGACAAAGGAAUGGUUUUGAUAAAGCUUCCUUGAUGAUUGAUAAGGAACAAAAGAGCCGUUUGCGAUAUUUGAUAAUCUUUUGAGUAAACCUCGUGAUCAGGAUGAGAUAGAAUUCCAGGUUGGAAAAUAGCAGCCAAAUUAUCAGCAGUCAUCAGGUUCUUCGACGAGUUCAUCGCAAAAACGGAAAGUAAGUCCAGUAAAUAAAGUAAAAGCUGGCGAUUUGGAAUCGGUAAUUCAUCAAUGCGUCGACGAUACAUUUCCACUCGCUCAUUGUCUGUAAGAUUGGGAAUUGUCAUGGGUUCACGAAACCUUUCAUAAUACUCCAAAGGAAUCACAUGCUCUGGCAUUAGAUUGAUGAAUCUCCGAAAAACAUUGGCAGCAUCAUGAACUGUGUAUCCUUCCCAAUCAAAACUUCGGCCAUAAUCCGGGCCUGUACUGAAAGCUUUUUGGAGAAUUUGGAUUCGUUUGGAAGAACCAUUAACGCGAAAAAUUCCCUUUACUUGGGUAGCAUUUUGUUUAAGAAAAAACCCGCACUUAGCAACGACAGCGGGAAUGUAGCCAUAAAAUACUUUCUCACCGUCUCGGCGUGUCAGAAAGAUAGCGACCUUCGAUACUUCCAAAGCCCUUGUAAGGCUCAGACCAAACAAUUUAUUGUCAUCUGACUUUUUAACCCGCAAUUGCUUCCACCAGCUAGCGAAUGAUGACUUUUUCCCCAUAUCGUCAAUCUGUAGGACUCCUACGACAACAGUCAUGAACAAUGGCUAUUGUAAUAAAAAUUGAAAAACUUAACAAAUGAAAACAAUAAAAAAAAGAAUUCAAUGAGGAAAAUGAGAUAACAGACAAAAGAUUUAAACCCAAAUACAAUGAAAGAAUUGUAGAUGUGUAAAAAAAAAGUAACCGAUAAAUUGACACUCUUUAAAAUUGAAUAACAAUUCUG
Molecule: non-coding RNA, 1243 nt
Organism: Schizosaccharomyces pombe (fission yeast)
Lineage: Eukaryota; Fungi; Ascomycota; Schizosaccharomycetes; Schizosaccharomycetales; Schizosaccharomycetaceae
Source: the annotation of a GenBank genome assembly